UGAAUACGAGAUGCUACGGCGUCGAAGCAGUCUAUGUCAUACUUCCAAGAAAAGCUUGCACUGUCAUAAACAAAUAAUGCCUGUACCAUAACCGACACAGGUGGGUAGGUAGAGUAUACUAAGGGGCGCGAGAUAACUCUCUCUAAGGAACUCGGCAAAAUGACUCCGUAACUUCGGGAGAAGGAGUGCCUUAUUUAUAAGGUUGCAAUAACAAGAUCCAAGCAACUGUUUACCAAAAACACAGGUCUCCGCUAAGUCGUAAGACGAUGUAUGGGGGCUGACGCCUGCCCAGUGCCAGAAGGUUAAAGAAGUUGGUUAGCAUCCGCGAAGCUGAUAACUGAAGCCCUGGUGAACGGCGGCCGUAACAAUAACGGUCCUAAGGUAGCGAAAUUCCUUGUCGGGUAAGUUCCGACCCGCACGAAAGGCGUAAUGAUUUGGAUACUGUCUCGGAGAGGGGCUCGGUGAAAUAGACUUGUCUGUGAAGAUGCGGACUACCUGCACCAGGACAGAAAGACCCUAUGAAGCUUUACUGUAACCUGAAAUUGAAAUUGGACUUUACUUGCGCAGUAUAGGUGGGAGGCGUUGAGAAUAUUCUUGCGGGAUUAUUGGAGCCAUCAGUGAGAUACCACUCUUGUAAUGUUAGAUUUCUAACUUUGUAUCAUUAUCUGGUCAAAGAACAGUUUCAGGCGGGCAGUUUGACUGGGGCGGUCGCCUCCUAAACGGUAACGGAGGCGCACAAAGGUUUCCUCUGAACGGGUAGAAAUCGUAUCUAGAGUGUAAAGGCAUAAGGAAGCUUGACUGUGAGACCUACAAGUCGAGCAGGGAAAAGUCGGUCUUAGUGAUCUGACGGUGCUGAGUGGAAAGGCCGUCACUCAACGGAUAAAAGUUACUCUAGGAUAACAGGCUGAUCUCCCCCAAGAGUUCACAUCGACGGGGAGGUUUGGCACCUCGAUGUCGGCUCAUCGCAUCCUGGGGCGGUAGUACGUCCCAAGGGUUGGGCUGUUCGCCCAUGAAAGCGGUACGCGAGCUGGGUUCAGAACGUCGUGAGACGGUUCGGUCCAUAUCCGGUGUAGGCGUUAGAAUAUUGAGAGGAGCCUUCUUUAGUACGAGAGGACCGAGAAGGUCAUACCUCUGGUGUACCAGUUAUCGUGCCAACGGUAAACGCUGGGUAGCUAUGUGUGGAGUGGAUAACCGCUGAAAGCAUCUAAGUGGGAAGCCCACCUCAAGAUAAG
This 1232-nucleotide ribosomal RNA is filed under the name metagenome. RNAcentral describes it as "bacterial LSU rRNA". It matches the Rfam family "Bacterial large subunit ribosomal RNA", at positions 1564 to 2808 of the family's 2925-position model. The record is from RNAcentral.